RNAcentral lists this ribosomal RNA (716 nucleotides) under uncultured bacterium. RNAcentral describes it as "bacterial SSU rRNA". It matches the Rfam family "Bacterial small subunit ribosomal RNA", at positions 65 to 794 of the family's 1533-position model. The record is from RNAcentral.
AACGGAAGUUUUCGGAUGGAAGUUGAAUUGACUGAGUGGCGGACGGGUGAGUAACGCGUGGGUAACCUGCCUUGUACUGGGGGACAACAGUUAGAAAUGACUGCUAAUACCGCAUAAGCGCACAGUAUCGCAUGAUACAGUGUGAAAAACUCCGGUGGUACAAGAUGGACCCGCGUCUGAUUAGCUAGUUGGUAAGGUAACGGCUUACCAAGGCGACGAUCAGUAGCCGACCUGAGAGGGUGACCGGCCACAUUGGGACUGAGACACGGCCCAAACUCCUACGGGAGGCAGCAGUGGGGAAUAUUGCACAAUGGGCGAAAGCCUGAUGCAGCGACGCCGCGCGAGUGAAGAAGUAUUUCGGUAUGUAAAGCUCUAUCAGCAGGGAAGAAAAUGACGGUACCUGACUAAGAAGCCCCGGCUAACUACGUGCCAGCAGCCGCGGUAAUACGUAGGGGGCAAGCGUUAUCCGGAUUUACUGGGUGUAAAGGGAGCGUAGACGGUAAAGCAAGUCUGAAGUGAAAGCCCGCGGCUCAACUGCGGGACUGCUUUGGAAACUGUUUAACUGGAGUGUCGGAGAGGUAAGUGGAAUUCCUAGUGUAGCGGUGAAAUGCGUAGAUAUUAGGAGGAACACCAGUGGCGAAGGCGACUUACUGGACGAUAACUGACGUUGAGGCUCGAAAGCGUGGGGAGCAAACAGGAUUAGAUACCCUGGUAGU